AGAAAAUACAAGAAAACAGACAGAAGAUCCUAUCUGCGACAAUUAAGAGCACUCUAAGAGGAAAACACAUCCCACCACACAAGGCAAGGUACUUCUAUGGAAGGGUGAGCCCUCACAGAUGGAGCAAUGGGGCGCGCACACCUGAACAAGGGAGGGGAAGGAGUUCUUAUCCCUGAUGCAUGUGACCCCUGCUGCUGUGUCCUUCCCCUAUUGGCUAAGGCUUCUGACAGCUUUGGAGAUUGUGACAUUGGAAUAAAG
RNAcentral lists this long non-coding RNA (258 nucleotides) under Homo sapiens (human). RNAcentral's name for it is "non-protein coding LINC00320:21". Lineage: Eukaryota; Metazoa; Chordata; Mammalia; Primates; Hominidae. The record is from RNAcentral.